This is a long non-coding RNA of Pangasianodon hypophthalmus (striped catfish), 1549 nucleotides long. RefSeq lists it as uncharacterized. The record is from RefSeq and is a predicted model, not a curated record. Lineage: Eukaryota; Metazoa; Chordata; Actinopteri; Siluriformes; Pangasiidae. The transcript is spliced from 3 exons.
GAUUAGUGAUUUGAUGAGAAUCCAGUACAAGUUGUUUUGGUUAAAGCGCAGACAUAGCAGUGUCUCAUGUCCUGAACCUGCUUAAAGGAAGUAAUACAAUGUAGCAUCUGGAAUAAAACGGUUUAGUAUCUCUAAAAAUAAACAUGUAAAGUUUCCUUGAACAACUGUGUAAGUGGGACCAGAUUAUCAGAAAAAAACUGGAGGAAAACUGUGUUCACGGGCUCCUAUGUUUACAGCUACUUUCUUUAAGCAUUUUCAAAUAGUGUAUGAUAGGGUAUUUAUAUAAGGUAGUAAAUGGUAGGGUAUAAAACACCAUCAUGUCCUACUCUAAGUAGAGCACAGGGUGCAUAGCUCCAGAGUCCCAGGUUUGAUCCUCAGAUCGGGUUACUGUCUGUGUGGAGUAAUCUGUAUUGUUCUUCCUGUGUCCUUGUGGGUUUCCUCCCACCUCCCAAAAACAUGUCGGUAGGUGGACUGGUAAAACAAAAUGCCCCUAGGUGUGAAUGAGUGUGUGUGCAUGGACUGGCAUCCUGUUCAGGGUGUAUCUCAUGCCCGGCCUAGGCUAUAGAUUCACCAUGUCCCUGACCAUGGCUUUUUUUUUUUUUUCUGUUUACUGAAAGUCAGUGAGUAAGAGUUGGUAAUAUCUAAAUGAAUUGCAAAAACUUUUGGGAAUUUACAACUGCCCUUCCAGUAAAACUUCAUGGUAAUUGACACUAUUUCCCCAUUUUGUUGGUGCUGUUUCUCAGAGGCACCCCAUGACCUGCAGGGUCUGAACCAAUGAUUCAUGUGAGUUCAGGGCUGAAGGGAAAGCUUAGGCCCCAGGCCUGCUGGCAGGCACCAUUUAUUCCUGUGUGUUCCAGCGGUGACACACAGAGUAAGCAGGAGAGCGUACAUUAAAACCACAGAAACCACUCACUCCCAUCAACCACAAGAAAGGAACUUGAAGCGCUCCAAGAGAUGUCUACAACUGAAAGAGUUGGCUCAGCGUCUUGGAAAAUAUUAGCAAAACGUUCACCAUUUCUAUGAAAAUAUUCCAGACAUGUUGAUGCUAAGAGCACCUUCUGAACAGUUACACUCACCUCUGCCCAGGUCGAUCUCUGUACAGCGGCGCUCUGGGUUGCUGUGUAUACGGCACUUAAAUACAGCUCCAGGAGAGUGAACAGAGUUACUGAAGGAUGAAUUUGCCCGAGGAGCCCCAACCAGAAUCCUGUACACAGGAACAUGAGCUAUGACUUCUUACAGUCCACUGACCACAUGUGUGCAGUUAAACAUUGUAGCUGAAAACAUCAUUCACACUUCUGAAUUCUCACUUCUUAAACAGAUCGUUUACAGCCUGCAACUCGUACACGAAUGUUGGAAACAUUUCGUUUCAGCAUCCAUAUCCAAGUGAAUAGUCCCAGGAGCUGCUGUGAAAACGCGUUGCAGGUCUGUGUGCUUUGUGUAAGUGUGCAUGUUGGUGCAACUUCACGGCUCUGAUGUGAACCCUAUGCGCGAUCACUCGUGCACAGAGCGCAUGAAGUGCACCGUUACAUCCAGGCCACUCACCAUCGUG